Molecule: ribosomal RNA, 497 nt
Filed under: uncultured bacterium
Lineage: Bacteria
Description: partial 16S ribosomal RNA
Rfam family: Bacterial small subunit ribosomal RNA
Source: RNAcentral
GAUGAACGCUGGCGGCGUGCCUAAUACAUGCAAGUCGAGCGAACGGACGAGAAGCUUGCUUCUCUGAUGUUAGCGGCGGACGGGUGAGUAACACGUGGAUAACCUACCUAUAAGACUGGGAUAACCUCGGGAAACCGUAGCUAAUACCGGAUAAUAUUUUGAACCGCAUGGUUCAAAAGUGAAAGACGGUCUUGCUGUCACUUAUAGAUGGAUCCGCGCUGCAUUAGCUAGUUGGUAAGGUAACGGCUUACCAAGGCAACGAUGCAUAGCCGACCUGAGAGGGUGAUCGGCCACACUGGAACUGAGACACGGUCCAGACCCCUACGGGAGGCAGCAGUAGGGAAUCUUCCGCAAUGGGCGAAAGCCUGACGGAGCAACGCCGCGUGAGUGAUGAAGGUCUUCGGAUCGUAAAACUCUGUUAUUAGGGAAGAACAUAUGUGUAAGUAACUGUGCACAUCUUGACGGUACCUAAUCAGAAAGCCACGGCUAACUACGUG